GAACACAUUAUCAUGAUCAUUCUUGCUACUCCUGCGUUCGUCACUGCAAUUCUUGUAGCGUCUAAUCGGCAAUUGAAAUACUUAUUAAAACCUGUACAGCUGGAAAGACUCUUUCCAUGACUAGGUGCGUUUUUUUUUUACUGCAAUCAAAAGAGCCACAGAAUUUUAAUGUCAUGGACGAAUUCAGAAUCAUAAUAAGUACGUUAUCUCCAUAUUAUGUUCAGAAACAUUUGUAUAUUUGGUAGUAUGUGGGUAGAUCAUGAAGUUGAGUUUUAGGCGCAUAAGCUUGUUGUAAAUGAAUGACAGAAAGUAGUUUUGUAAUGUGAAGCUCACACGACUCUGGGUGUCACUCCUGGACCUUCCCGUUGUUUUUUUGUGUUACACUAAUGUUCAAAACAUAGGUGGCAGAUUCAGAGACGCGUUUGAACCUUCUUGCUGUACCUUUUCCUUUCCCAACCAUAAACACUCUAAAGUAGACCUCAGUCACUUAAGGAUAAAGCCUCUCACAAAUAAAAAGGAAUAAAACUAAUGGCAGAGUCGAUUAAAUAAUAAUAAUAUAAAAAGUUUCUAGAGAUGGAAACGAAAGUUCCAGGCUCUUUUGAGAAGUGACGGGUGCUCACAGCUUAAAGCUCCGUGUAGGGAAAGUUUUCUGUAAGGUACGGGCAAAAGAGUCUAUUGUCUCGUUAGGGAUCAAUAGUAACAAUUGGUAAGUUGUGUUCGAGAUCAUCGUGGUCUUUUCAUUUCCAAUUGCUGAUUUAUUGAAACUCUUUUUCUCCCUUAGUUGUCAUUUCCUUGCUGCAUGCAUGCUUACAGCCAUCUCGAUUCUUACUUGUAAGCCAGGAAUUUAUUG
This 850-nucleotide long non-coding RNA is filed under the name Physcomitrium patens. RNAcentral describes it as "long non-coding RNA (PPAT_LNC004129)". The record is from RNAcentral. Lineage: Eukaryota; Viridiplantae; Streptophyta; Bryopsida; Funariales; Funariaceae.